RNAcentral lists this ribosomal RNA (428 nucleotides) under uncultured soil bacterium. Its description in RNAcentral is "bacterial SSU rRNA". It matches the Rfam family "Bacterial small subunit ribosomal RNA", at positions 966 to 1393 of the family's 1533-position model. The record is from RNAcentral.
GAACCUUACCUGGGCUCGAAGCGCAGUGGAAUCCGGUGGAAACAUCGGCGCCCCUUAAAAGGCCGCUGCGGAGGUGCUGCAUGGCUGUCGUCAGCUCGUGUCGUGAGAUGUUGGGUUAAGUCCCGCAACGAGCGCAACCCUUAUCCCUAGUUGCCAUCGGGUCAAGCCGGGCACUCUAGUGAAACUGCCUCGGAUAACGAGGAGGAAGGUGGGGAUGACGUCAAGUCCUCAUGGCCUUUAUGUCCAGGGCUACACACGUGCUACAAUGGUCGGUACAAACCGUCGCAAACCCGUGAGGGGGAGCUAAUAGGAAAAAGCCGGCCUCAGUUCGGAUUGGAGUCUGCAACUCGACUCCAUGAAGCUGUAAUCGCUAGUAAUCGCGGAUCAGAACGCCGCGGUGAAUACGUUCCCGGGCCUUGUCACACCGA